This 261-nucleotide ribosomal RNA is filed under the name uncultured archaeon. Its description in RNAcentral is "partial 16S ribosomal RNA". It matches the Rfam family "Archaeal small subunit ribosomal RNA", at positions 748 to 1009 of the family's 1478-position model. The record is from RNAcentral.
CAGCCGUAAACUAUGCGCGUUAGGUGUAUCGGUGACCACGAGUUACCGAGGUGCCGAAGGGAAACCGUGAAACGUGCCGCCUGGGAAGUACGGUCGCAAGGCUGAAACUUAAAGGAAUUGGCGGGGGAGCACAACAACGGGUGGAGCCUGCGGUUUAAUUGGACUCAACGCCGGACAACUCACCGGGAACGACAGCAAUAUGUAGGCCAGGCUGAAGACCUUGCCUGAAUCGCUGAGAGGAGGUGCAUGGCGUAGACGUCU